ACACGUAGGGGGCGAGCGUUGUUCGGAAUCAUUGGGCGUAAAGGGCGCGCAGGCGGCGAGGCAAGUCCGGUGUGAAAGUGCUCGGCUCAACCGAGUGAUGCGCUGGAUACUGCCCUGCUUGAGUACAGGAGGGGACGUCGGAAUUCCAGGUGUAGGGGUGAAAUCUGUAGAUAUCUGGAAGAACACCGGUGGCGAAGGCGGACGUCUGGCCAUGUACUGACGCUGAGGCGCGAAGGUGCGGGGAGCGAACAGGUUUAGAUACCCUGGUAGUCCGCACAGUAAACGAUGUGCACCAGGUGGCGGGGGGUAGCCCUCGGUACCGAAGCCAACGCAUUAAGUGCACCGCCUGGGGAGUAUGCUCGCAAGGGUGAAACUCAAAGGAAUUGACGGGG
RNAcentral lists this ribosomal RNA (392 nucleotides) under uncultured bacterium. Its description in RNAcentral is "partial 16S ribosomal RNA". It matches the Rfam family "Bacterial small subunit ribosomal RNA", at positions 523 to 918 of the family's 1533-position model. The record is from RNAcentral.